Molecule: ribosomal RNA, 1343 nt
Filed under: uncultured bacterium
Lineage: Bacteria
Description: 16S ribosomal RNA
Rfam family: Bacterial small subunit ribosomal RNA
Source: RNAcentral
GACGAACGCUGGCGGCGUGCUUAACACAUGCAAGUCGAACGGAAAGGCCCUGCUUUUGUGGGGUGCUCGAGUGGCGAACGGGUGAGUAACACGUGAGUAACCUGCCCUUGACUUUGGGAUAACUUCAGGAAACUGGGGCUAAUACCGGAUAGGAGCUCCUGCUGCAUGGUGGGGGUUGGAAAGUUUCGGCGGUUGGGGAUGGACUCGCGGCUUAUCAGCUUGUUGGUGGGGUAGUGGCUUACCAAGGCUUUGACGGGUAGCCGGCCUGAGAGGGUGACCGGCCACAUUGGGACUGAGAUACGGCCCAGACUCCUACGGGAGGCAGCAGUGGGGAAUAUUGCACAAUGGGCGGAAGCCUGAUGCAGCAACGCCGCGUGCGGGAUGACGGCCUUCGGGUUGUAAACCGCUUUCGCCUGUGACGAAGCGUGAGUGAUGGUAAUGGGUAAAGAAGCACCGGCUAACUACGUGCCAGCAGCCGCGGUGAUACGUAGGGUGCGAGCGUUGUCCGGAUUUAUUGGGCGUAAAGGGCUCGUAGGUGGUUGAUCGCGUCGGAAGUGUAAUCUUGGGGCUUAACCCUGAGCGUGCUUUCGAUACGGGUUGACUUGAGGAAGGUAGGGGAGAAUGGAAUUCCUGGUGGAGCGGUGGAAUGCGCAGAUAUCAGGAGGAACACCAGUGGCGAAGGCGGUUCUCUGGGCCUUUCCUGACGCUGAGGAGCGAAAGCGUGGGGAGCGAACAGGCUUAGAUACCCUGGUAGUCCACGCUGUAAACGGUGGGUACUAGGUGUGGGGUCCAUUCCACGGGUUCCGUGCCGUAGCUAACGCUUUAAGUACCCCGCCUGGGGAGUACGGCCGCAAGGCUAAAACUCAAAGGAAUUGACGGGGCCCCGCACAAGCGGCGGAGCAUGCGGAUUAAUUCGAUGCAACGCGUAGAACCUUACCUGGGUUUGACAUGGAUCGGGAGUGCUCAGAGAUGGGUGUGCCUCUUUUGGGGUCGGUUCACAGGUGGUGCAUGGCUGUCGUCAGCUCGUGUCGUGAGAUGUUGGGUUAAGUCCCGCAACGAGCGCAACCCUUGUUCACUGUUGCCAGCACGUUAUGGUGGGGACUCAGUGGAGACCGCCGGGGUCAACUCGGAGGAAGGUGGGGAUGACGUCAAGUCAUCAUGCCCCUUAUGUCCAGGGCUUCACGCAUGCUACAAUGGCUGGUACAGAGAGUGGCGAGCCUGUGAGGGUGAGCGAAUCUCGGAAAGCCGGUCUCAGUUCGGAUUGGGGCCUGCAACUCGACCUCAUGAAGUCGGAGUCGCUAGUAAUCGCAGAUCAGCAACGCUGCGGUGAAUACGUUCCCGGG